GACGUAGGGUCCAAGCGUUGUCCGGAUUUACUGGGCGUAAAGAGCGCGUAGGCGGCUCGUUAAGUGUGAAGCUAAAUCUCUAGGCUCAACCUAGAAACUAUUUCGCAUACUGGCGAGCUGGAGUGAUGAAGAGGUUUGUGGAAUUCCUGGUGUAGCGGUGAAAUGCGUUGAUAUCAGGAGGAACACCCAUGGCGAAGGCAGCAAACUGGUCAUCAACUGACGCUGAGGCGCGAAAGCGUGGGUAGCAAACAGGAUUAGAUACCCUGGUAGUCCACGCCCUAAACGAUGGAUACUAGGCGUAAGAGGUAUCGACCCCUCUUGUGCCGCAGCUAACGCAUUAAGUAUCCCGCCUGGGGAGUACGGCCGCAAGGUUGAA
RNAcentral lists this ribosomal RNA (376 nucleotides) under uncultured bacterium. Its description in RNAcentral is "bacterial SSU rRNA". It matches the Rfam family "Bacterial small subunit ribosomal RNA", at positions 524 to 898 of the family's 1533-position model. The record is from RNAcentral.